UUUGCAGUCCAGACUUAUAGCAGCAGGACUCUGCAGUGUUGCUCAUCACUUCUUUCUACUUCCAAGUGCCUCUGCAAUUUGUAGUCCACAGUGGCAGCCAGAAUUUCUCCCCGGCCUCGUCUAUGUAGCGACAGGCUUCAGUACCUGCAAACUGCUAGACUGCUCUGUCUGACUCAGGUAUGAUUCAACAGACCCAAAAGGAUGGCCUGAGCAGUGAUUUAGUGAAGACCUAUGAUAAGGAUUGUGGUUAUAAUAAAGAAGAAGAAAAAGUUAUGGGUAUGCUUGUGGACCAAAAUAAUGCAGCUAAAGGAACUAGCAUCAAAAAAAGUACCACAGAAAAUUGGUGGGAUAAACUGGCCCAUUGGAACUUCAACCAAAGACUUAUUCACAUUAUAACUCAUCCCCUUAUCAUUGUAUUAUUGAUUCAAAUUAUUGUUAUGUAUAUGUACUUUGGUUAUAUCUGUCUAUGAAACAAUAAAAGCAAAAAAUGA
Long non-coding RNA from Alligator mississippiensis (American alligator), 491 nucleotides. RefSeq lists it as uncharacterized. The transcript is spliced from 3 exons. The record is from RefSeq and is a predicted model, not a curated record. Lineage: Eukaryota; Metazoa; Chordata; Crocodylia; Alligatoridae.